CCUACGGGUGGCAGCAGUGGGGAAUAUUGCGCAAUGGGCGAAAGCCUGACGCAGCGACGCCGCGUGAGGGAUGAAGGUCUUCGGAUCGUAAACCUCUGUCAGCAGGGAAGAACGGUCACUGUGCUAAUCAGCAGUGACUUGACGGUACCUGCAAAGGAAGCACCGGCUAACUCCGUGCCAGCAGCCGCGGUAAUACGGAGGGGUCGAGCGUUAAUCGGAAUUACUGGGCGUAAAGCGCUCGUAGGCGGUAUGUCAAGUCAAGGGUGAAAUCCCCGCGCUCAACGUGGGAACUGCCUUUGAAACUGGGGAACGUGAGUGUGUGAGAGGAUAGUGGAAUUCCAGGUGUAGGAGUGAAAUCCGUAGAUAUCUGGAGGAACAUCAGUGGCGAAGGCGACUAUCUGGCACAUAACUGACGCUGAGGAGCGAAAGCGUGGGUAGCAAACAGGAUUAGAUACCCCAGUAGUC
Molecule: ribosomal RNA, 465 nt
Filed under: uncultured bacterium
Lineage: Bacteria
Description: partial 16S ribosomal RNA
Rfam family: Bacterial small subunit ribosomal RNA
Source: RNAcentral